GUAAUAACAAUAAAUCACCUCUUUUGCACCCAAAGGUGUCCCUAGCAUUUUUUGAUAAUAAAUUUAAAUAAAGAGAACUUUAUAAGGACAGGCCGACUCAUAUCAACUACGAACGGCCAAUUUCCAAAAGAAGAAAAUUAAAUAAAAGUGAUCCGAUCUGAAGACAACCCACCUCAAUAUCGCUUUUCUUUUAAUGAGAGCUUAGCCUGUUUUCAUCAUUUAAACACUGUAGAAAUAUAUAUAUGAUCCUUACAAUGGAGCUAAAACCCUCGUUUAUGUCAGCCUUUCUGGUCAUCUUCUUGGUCAUGGCAGCAUCAAAAGAAGUAAUUAUUAAGGUGGAAGGAAGAGGAGAGUUUCGUUGCCCCAAAAUGAUAGAGUGCAAGAGCGUAUGCCAAGGCUACCCCAAUUGCUGCGUCAAUGGCCAGUGCCUUUGCGAACCUUGCCGGACUCUGCUUCCACAGCCGCUUGAGUCUUCUUCUCCACCUGAAAAUUAAUUCAAAUAUUAACUCAUCAUCAUCAACAAAAUUUACUUAUAUCUUCUCUUACUUUAAGUCUUUAAUUAUCUUUAUUUCUUUAUUGUUCAGGCGAAUAAUUGCUAAUUAAUUGAAAUGAAUGUGACACAUUAACUUUAUACAUAUAUAUUUUAUAAUUGAGUAUGAGUACUCUUCUUUUAACUACUGUAAUUGUGAAUUGAGUGCUUAAAUAUUUCAGUCAAUUAUUAUUAA
Cannabis sativa is the source of this 725-nucleotide long non-coding RNA. RefSeq lists it as uncharacterized. The record is from RefSeq and is a predicted model, not a curated record. The transcript is spliced from 2 exons. Lineage: Eukaryota; Viridiplantae; Streptophyta; Magnoliopsida; Rosales; Cannabaceae.